This is a small nuclear RNA of 148 nucleotides. Its record names the gene U1. It matches the Rfam family "U1 spliceosomal RNA". Rfam says of the family: U1 is a small nuclear RNA (snRNA) component of the spliceosome (involved in pre-mRNA splicing). Its 5' end forms complementary base pairs with the 5' splice junction, thus defining the 5' donor site of an intron. There are significant differences in sequence and secondary structure between metazoan and yeast U1 snRNAs, the latter being much longer (568 nucleotides as compared to 164 nucleotides in human). The record is from Ensembl.
AUACUUACCUGGCAGAGGAGAUACUGUGAUCAAGAAGGCGGUUCACCCAGGGUGAGGCUCAGCCAUUGCACUCCAGCUGUGCUGACCCCUGUGAAUUCCCCAAAUGUGGUAAUCUCAACUGCAUGAUUUCUGGCAGUCGUGGCCUAGC